Molecule: ribosomal RNA, 509 nt
Filed under: Pelonium leucophaeum
Lineage: Eukaryota; Metazoa; Arthropoda; Insecta; Coleoptera; Cleridae
Description: partial 16S ribosomal RNA
Rfam family: Archaeal large subunit ribosomal RNA (bases 386-509)
Source: RNAcentral
UGUCUUUUUGAUUAUAAUUUAAAGUCUAAUCUGCCCACUGAGGAAUUGAAUGGCCGCGGUAUUUUGACCGUGCAAAGGUAGCAUAAUAAUUAGUUUUUUAAUUGGAAGCUGGAAUGAAUGAUUGGAUGAGAAAAUUACUGUCUCAAAUUAAUUUAUUUAGAAUUUUAUUUUUAAGUUAAAAAGCUUAAAUUUUAUUAAAAGACGAGAAGACCCUAUAGAGUUUAAUAAAUUUUUAUUAUUUAAAUUAAUGGUUUUUAUCAUUUAAAUUUAUAUAAUUUAUUUUGUUGGGGUGAUAGAAAAAUUUAAUUAACUUUUUUUAAAUUUUUACAUUAAUUUAUGAAUAUUUGAUCCAUUUUUAGUGAUUAGAAGAUUAAAUUACCUUAGGGAUAACAGCGUAAUUUUUUUUAAGAGUUCUUAUCGAAAAAAAAGAUUGCGACCUCGAUGUUGGAUUAAAGUUAAUUUUUGGUGUAGAAGCUAAAAAAUUAGGUCUGUUCGACCUUUAAAACUUU